This 253-nucleotide ribosomal RNA is filed under the name uncultured bacterium. RNAcentral's name for it is "partial 16S ribosomal RNA". It matches the Rfam family "Bacterial small subunit ribosomal RNA", at positions 524 to 776 of the family's 1533-position model. The record is from RNAcentral.
UACGAAGGGAGCUAGCGUUGUUCGGAAUCACUGGGCGUAAAGCGCACGUAGGCGGAUGUGUCAGUCAGGGGUGAAAUCCCGGAGCUCAACUUCGGAACUGCCUUUGAUACAGCACAUCUGGAGUCCGGAAGAGGUGGGUGGAAUUCCUGGUGUAGCGGUGAAAUGCGUAGAUAUCGGGAGGAACACCAGUGGCGAAGGCGGCUUCCUGGCCUGUUCUUGACGCUGAGGCGCGAAAGCUAGGGGAGCAAACGGG